Syngnathoides biaculeatus (alligator pipefish) is the source of this 331-nucleotide long non-coding RNA. RefSeq lists it as uncharacterized. Lineage: Eukaryota; Metazoa; Chordata; Actinopteri; Syngnathiformes; Syngnathidae. The record is from RefSeq and is a predicted model, not a curated record. The transcript is spliced from 3 exons.
UUCCCGUGUUCCUUUUGCCUGCACGGCGUGACACACGACAAGUUUAGCAAGCUCAUCAUUUAGUUUCUUUUUAAAAAGUUAUUUCAGAGUCAUUAAGUUUUGCCGUGUCAUAUUUUCUGUCGACAAUCGUCGCGCGACCCCAAAAGGCGAGCACCUGGAUUGAGGACACUGAUCUGACGGCCAGCGACUUCUUCCGACAAGGAGCAAAUUCCAGGCUGGUUUGGACACGUUUUGUAUGCACCUCGUGUAAAUUUUUGUUGCCGGGCCGACUUAAAAGGAAUUUGUAGUGUACAGUAUUUCCAGCCCUGAGAAAAAAAUAUUCUCAUCAUCA